GUUGGUGGAGUGAUUUGUCUGGUUAAUUCCGUUAACGAACGAGACCUCAGCCAGCUAAAUAGCGGCGCGUAACUUCGGUUACACGUCGAGACUUCUUAGAGGGACUUUGUGUUCGUAACACAAGGAAGUUUGAGGCAAUAACAGG
Molecule: ribosomal RNA, 145 nt
Filed under: uncultured eukaryote
Lineage: Eukaryota
Description: partial small subunit ribosomal RNA
Rfam family: Eukaryotic small subunit ribosomal RNA
Source: RNAcentral